UUCUUCAUUUGAUGGAAAUGGAAACAUGUCUGCAAGGUCAAUAAGUCCCG
This 50-nucleotide non-coding RNA is filed under the name Gloeochaete wittrockiana. Lineage: Eukaryota; Glaucocystophyceae; Gloeochaetales; Gloeochaetaceae. The record is from RNAcentral.